CAGCCGCCGCGGUAAUACGGAGGGGGCUAGCGUUGUUCGGAAUUACUGGGCGUAAAGCGCACGUAGGCGGUUUUGUAAGUCAGAGGUGAAAGCCCGGAGCUCAGCUCCGGAACUGCCUUUGAGACUGCAUCACUUGAACGUCGGAGAGGUGAGUGGAAUUCCGAGUGUAGAGGUGAAAUUCGUAGAUAUUCGGAAGAACACCAGUGGCGAAGGCGGCUCACUGGACGACUGUCGACGCUGAGGUGCGAAAGCGUGGGGAGCAAACAGGAUUAGAGACCCCGGUAGUCCCUGUCUCUUAUAC
This 301-nucleotide ribosomal RNA is filed under the name uncultured bacterium. RNAcentral's name for it is "partial 16S ribosomal RNA". It matches the Rfam family "Bacterial small subunit ribosomal RNA", at positions 509 to 807 of the family's 1533-position model. The record is from RNAcentral.